UUUCCGGCGGCUAUAGCGAGGAGGCCACACCUGUUCCCAUCCCGAACACAGAAGUUAAGCUCCUCCGCGCCGAUGGUACUGCAAGGGCAGCUUUGUGGGAGAGUAGGUCGUCGCCGGAUU
RNAcentral lists this ribosomal RNA (120 nucleotides) under Desulfatibacillum aliphaticivorans. Lineage: Bacteria; Pseudomonadati; Thermodesulfobacteriota; Desulfobacteria; Desulfobacterales; Desulfatibacillaceae. The record is from RNAcentral.